GACGAACCGUGCGAACGUUGUUCGGAAUCACUGGGCUUAAAGGGCGCGUAGGCGGGCUGUCAAGUCUGGGGUGAAAUGCCGCGGCUCAACCGUGGAACUGCCUUAGAUACUGACGGCCUCGAGGAAGGUAGGGGCAUGCGGAACUGUAGGUGGAGCGGUGAAAUGCGUUGAUAUCUACAGGAACUCCGGUGGCGAAAGCGGCGUGCUGGACCUUUUCUGACGCUGAGGCGCGAAAGCUAGGGGAGCGAACGGG
Molecule: ribosomal RNA, 253 nt
Filed under: uncultured bacterium
Lineage: Bacteria
Description: partial 16S ribosomal RNA
Rfam family: Bacterial small subunit ribosomal RNA
Source: RNAcentral